This 85-nucleotide transfer RNA is filed under the name Ahniella affigens. RNAcentral's name for it is "tRNA-Leu". It matches the Rfam family "tRNA". Rfam says of the family: Transfer RNA (tRNA) molecules are approximately 80 nucleotides in length. Their secondary structure includes four short double-helical elements and three loops (D, anti-codon, and T loops). Further hydrogen bonds mediate the characteristic L-shaped molecular structure. tRNAs have two regions of fundamental functional importance: the anti-codon, which is responsible for specific mRNA codon recognition, and the 3' end, to which the tRNAs corresponding amino acid is attached (by aminoacyl-tRNA synthetases). tRNAs cope with the degeneracy of the genetic code in two manners: having more than one tRNA (with a specific anti-codon) for a particular amino acid; and 'wobble' base-pairing, i.e. permitting non-standard base-pairing at the 3rd anti-codon position. The record is from RNAcentral. Lineage: Bacteria; Pseudomonadati; Pseudomonadota; Gammaproteobacteria; Lysobacterales; Rhodanobacteraceae.
GCGAAAAUGGCGGAAUUGGUAGACGCACUGGAUUUAGGUUCCAGCGGAGUAAUCCGUGAGAGUUCGAGUCUCUCUUUUCGCACCA